CUAUGGCCAUCCCACCCUGAACAUACCUGACCUUGUCUGAUCUCAGAAGCAAAGCAGGGUCAGGCCUGGUUAAAUUCAGAUGGGAGACCAAAGGGUAAGACUGGUUAUUAAAUGGA
This 116-nucleotide ribosomal RNA is filed under the name Microcebus murinus (gray mouse lemur). The record is from RNAcentral. Lineage: Eukaryota; Metazoa; Chordata; Mammalia; Primates; Cheirogaleidae.